This 23-nucleotide non-coding RNA is filed under the name Arabidopsis thaliana (thale cress). The record is from RNAcentral. Lineage: Eukaryota; Viridiplantae; Streptophyta; Magnoliopsida; Brassicales; Brassicaceae.
AUCAAAGUCGGGUGUCAACUAAA